This is a long non-coding RNA of Hypanus sabinus (Atlantic stingray), 353 nucleotides long. RefSeq lists it as uncharacterized. Lineage: Eukaryota; Metazoa; Chordata; Chondrichthyes; Myliobatiformes; Dasyatidae. The record is from RefSeq and is a predicted model, not a curated record. The transcript is spliced from 3 exons.
AGACAUGCAGUGAGACAUUUAUUGGAAGAAAAAAGCACACAACUGGAAGCAGAGCGCGACUGAAGACGAGGGAACAGCAGCAAGUGAACCAGCCCGAGGAUUGAGAGCAUAAACUGGAGCGAAAGCGUCUGACUCGGAGAUUCCAGUGAUUCAGUCAGGAGAAAGUUUGAAUCCGUAACACAGCCUCACUUGGACAGAGUGGGAACAGAACCUGGAGCCGCGGAACAAGAACCUUUAACACAGCCUCACUGGGACAGGGUGGUAACAGAACCUGGAGCCGCUGUACACGGUAAGAAGCUCUUUUUACUGAAAUAUAAAAUACACAAAGGCAGUCAGACACUUAAAUGAGACUG